CUACAGGCUUAACACAUGCAAGUCGAGGGGCAGCAUGGUCUUAGCUUGCUAAGGCCGAUGGCGACCGGCGCACGGGUGAGUAACACGUAUCCAACCUGCCGUCUACUCUUGGACAGCCUUCUGAAAGGAAGAUUAAUACAAGAUGGCAUCAUGAGUCCGCAUGUUCACAUGAUUAAAGGUAUUCCGGUAGACGAUGGGGAUGCGUUCCAUUAGAUAGUAGGCGGGGUAACGGCCCACCUAGUCUUCGAUGGAUAGGGGUUCUGAGAGGAAGGUCCCCCACAUUGGAACUGAGACACGGUCCAAACUCCUACGGGAGGCAGCAGUGAGGAAUAUUGGUCAAUGGGCGAGAGCCUGAACCAGCCAAGUAGCGUGAAGGAUGACUGCCCUAUGGGUUGUAAACUUCUUUUAUAAAGGAAUAAAGUCGGGUAUGGAUACCCGUUUGCAUGUACUUUAUGAAUAAGGAUCGGCUAACUCCGUGCCAGCAGCCGCGGUAAUACGGAGGAUCCGAGCGUUAUCCGGAUUUAUUGGGUUUAAAGGGAGCGUAGAUGGAUGUUUAAGUCAGUUGUGAAAGUUUGCGGCUCAACCGUAAAAUUGCAGUUGAUACUGGAUAUCUUGAGUGCAGUCGAGGCAGGCGGAAUUCGUGGUGUAGCGGUGAAAUGCUUAGAUAUCACGAAGAACUCCGAUUGCGAAGGCAGCCUGCUAAGCUGCAACUGACAUUGAGGCUCGAAAGUGUGGGUAUCAAACAGGAUUAGAUACCCUGGUAGUCCACACGGUAAACGAUGAAUACUCGCUGUUUGCGAUAUACAGCAAGCGGCCAAGCGAAAGCGUUAAGUAUUCCACCUGGGGAGUACGCCGGCAACGGUGAAACUCAAAGGAAUUGACGGGGGCCCGCACAAGCGGAGGAACAUGUGGUUUAAUUCGAUGAUACGCGAGGAACCUUACCCGGGCUUAAAUUGCAGAUGAAUUACGGUGAAAGCCGUAAGCCGCAAGGCAUCUGUGAAGGUGCUGCAUGGUUGUCGUCAGCUCGUGCCGUGAGGUGUCGGCUUAAGUGCCAUAACGAGCGCAACCCUUGUUGUCAGUUACUAACAGGUUCCGCUGAGGACUCUGACAAGACUGCCAUCGUAAGAUGUGAGGAAGGUGGGGAUGACGUCAAAUCAGCACGGCCCUUACGUCCGGGGCUACACACGUGUUACAAUGGGGGGUACAGAGGGCCGCUACCACGCGAGUGGAUGCCAAUCCCCAAAACCUCUCUCAGUUCGGACUGGAGUCUGCAACCCGACUCCACGAAGCUGGAUUCGCUAGUAAUCGCGCAUCAGCCACGGCGCGGUGAAUACGUUCCCGGGCCUUGUACACACCGCCCGUCAAGCCAUGGGAGCCGGGGGUACCUGAAGUGCGUAACCGCGAGGAGCGCCCUAGGGUAAAACUGGUGACUGGGGCU
Molecule: ribosomal RNA, 1438 nt
Filed under: uncultured organism
Description: SSU rRNA
Rfam family: Bacterial small subunit ribosomal RNA
Source: RNAcentral